This 497-nucleotide ribosomal RNA is filed under the name uncultured bacterium. RNAcentral describes it as "partial 16S ribosomal RNA". It matches the Rfam family "Bacterial small subunit ribosomal RNA", at positions 28 to 507 of the family's 1533-position model. The record is from RNAcentral.
GAUGAACGCUGGCGGCGUGCCUAAUACAUGCAAGUCGAGCGAACAGACGAGGAGCUUGCUCCUCUGACGUUAGCGGCGGACGGGUGAGUAACACGUGGAUAACCUACCUAUAAGACUGGGAUAACUUCGGGAAACCGGAGCUAAUACCGGAUAAUAUAUUGAACCGCAUGGUUCAAUAGUGAAAGACGGUUUUGCUGUCACUUAUAGAUGGAUCCGCGCCGCAUUAGCUAGUUGGUAAGGUAACGGCUUACCAAGGCAACGAUGCGUAGCCGACCUGAGAGGGUGAUCGGCCCAACUGGAACUGAGCCACGGUCCAGACUCCUACGGGAGGCAGCAGUAGGGAAUCUUCCGCAAUGGGCGAAAGCCUGACGGAGCAACGCCGCGUGAGUGAUGAAGGUCUUCGGAUCGUAAAACUCUGUUAUUAGGGAAGAACAAAUGUGUAAGUAACUAUGCACGUCUUGACGGUACCUAAUCAGAAAGCCACGGCUAACUACGUG